GGACAGGUGGCUGAUUUUAGGCGGUGGGUUGUAAACUCAUUUAUGGGAAAAUUCCCCCGGUUCG
Molecule: transfer RNA, 64 nt
Filed under: Pseudocalotes microlepis (Burmese false bloodsucker)
Lineage: Eukaryota; Metazoa; Chordata; Lepidosauria; Squamata; Agamidae
Description: tRNA-Tyr
Source: RNAcentral